This 73-nucleotide small RNA is filed under the name Rhizobium etli bv. phaseoli str. IE4803. RNAcentral's name for it is "miscellaneous other RNA". The record is from RNAcentral. RNAcentral also lists the same sequence under 1 other name. Lineage: Bacteria; Pseudomonadati; Pseudomonadota; Alphaproteobacteria; Hyphomicrobiales; Rhizobiaceae.
CGAAGCCGCGGAUGGUCCUCCCUCAUCCGUAGGUAAUGCGCCCGCCUCGCCUCGCUCGCACCAGCGCGCGAGG